This 133-nucleotide microRNA precursor is filed under the name Prunus dulcis (almond). Its description in RNAcentral is "sRNA ncRNA". The record is from RNAcentral. Lineage: Eukaryota; Viridiplantae; Streptophyta; Magnoliopsida; Rosales; Rosaceae.
GAGUGGAGAUGGGAUUGAGAGGGAAGAUGUGAGGGAGGUGUAAAUCUAUUUGAAAUUGUUUUCACUUUCAAGUUUUUGUUUUCACUUUUGUUACUCCUCCCUCCCAUCCUCCCUUCCCAUCCUCUCUCAUUUU